UAGACAGAUUAUUGUAUUCGAUUGUAUUCACGAUAUGUAUUUGUGAAUACAGUAACGUAAAUAGCGCAAUAUAUGGUUUAUUCAACUGUUUUUAAACGAAAAGUGAAUCAAUUAACUUAAUAGACUCCU
RNAcentral lists this microRNA precursor (129 nucleotides) under Nicotiana sylvestris (wood tobacco). RNAcentral describes it as "MIR6152 microRNA precursor family". It matches the Rfam family "MIR6152 microRNA precursor family". The record is from Rfam by way of RNAcentral. Lineage: Eukaryota; Viridiplantae; Streptophyta; Magnoliopsida; Solanales; Solanaceae.